This 253-nucleotide ribosomal RNA is filed under the name uncultured bacterium. Its description in RNAcentral is "partial 16S ribosomal RNA". It matches the Rfam family "Bacterial small subunit ribosomal RNA", at positions 524 to 776 of the family's 1533-position model. The record is from RNAcentral.
UACGUAGGCAGCGAGCGUUGUUCGGAUUUACUGGGCGUAAAGGGUGCGCAGGCGGUGGAGCAAGUCUGUUGUGAAAUCUCCCGGCUUAACCGGGAGGGUGCGGCGGAAACUGUUCUGCUGGAGUGAGGGAGAGGCAAGCGGAAUUCCUGGUGUAGCGGUGAAAUGCGUAGAUAUCAGGAGGAACACCCGUGGUGAAGACGGCUUGCUGGACCUCCACUGACGCUGAGGCACGAAAGCGUGGGGAGCAAACAGG